GUGCCAGCAUCCGCGGUAAUACCAGCUCCAGGAGUGUCUAUGAUGAUUGCUGCGAUUAAAAGGUCCGUAGUCUGCGAACAGUACUUGUUUGUAAUGCGGUUAAUCAACGACCGAAUAGAACAAGAAGAGUUCAGAGUAGGAGCGAAGGAGGGCUAGAUUAUUGAGCAGCGAGAGGUGAAAUUUGAUGACCUGCUUAGGAGUAACAGAGGCGAAAGCGCUAGUCAAGAGCGAAUCCGGUGAUCAAGGACGUAGGCUGGAGGAUCGAAGACGAUUAGAGACCGUAGUAGUUCCAGCAGUAAACGAUGCCGACACUGUUGUGGAAGAUGCACGACAGAAGAGAAAUCUAGUAGGGCUUUGGGGAGAGUACGCGCGCAAGCGAUAAAUUUAAAGGAAAUUGACGGAAGAACACCACAAGGAGUGGAGUGUGCGGCUUAAUUUGACUCAACGCGGGACAGCUUACCAUACCCGAUGACAGUGUGAGCGUAGUACGCGAUAGGUCAAAGAGUGGUGCAUGGCCGUUAACGACGAGUGGGGUGACCUUUGGGUUAAGUCCGCGAAGUAGUGAGAUCCCUAGGAUAGCUUCGGCUUAUCGACAGGUGUUAAAAACACAGGAAGGAAGGGGCAAGAACAGGUCAGUGAUGCCCUUAGAUGGUAUGGGCUGCACGCGCACUACAGUGGUCACAACAAGAGUUAGUAGAAGUAAAUGUGAUCGAGAGGGAAUGAGCACUGCAAUGUGCACAGGAACGAGGAAUUGCUAGUAAUCGUUAUCUCAUUAAGAAGCGAUGAAUGUGUCCCUGUUCUUUGUACACACCGCCCGUC
Molecule: ribosomal RNA, 819 nt
Filed under: Tetramicra brevifilum
Lineage: Eukaryota; Fungi; Microsporidia; Tetramicriidae
Description: SSU rRNA
Rfam family: Microsporidia small subunit ribosomal RNA
Source: RNAcentral